This 331-nucleotide ribosomal RNA is filed under the name uncultured bacterium. Its description in RNAcentral is "bacterial SSU rRNA". It matches the Rfam family "Bacterial small subunit ribosomal RNA", at positions 30 to 361 of the family's 1533-position model. The record is from RNAcentral.
AUUGAACGCUGGCGGCAUGCCUUACACAUGCAAGUCGAACGGCAGCACGGGAGCAAUCCUGGUGGCGAGUGGCGAACGGGUGAGUAAUAUAUCGGAACGUGCCCAGUCGUGGGGGAUAACGUAGCGAAAGCUACGCUAAUACCGCAUACGAUCUAUGGAUGAAAGCGGGGGAUCGCAAGACCUCGCGCGAUUGGAGCGGCCGAUAUCAGAUUAGGUAGUUGGUGAGGUAAAGGCUCACCAAGCCGACGAUCUGUAGCUGGUCUGAGAGGACGACCAGCCACACUGGGACUGAGACACGGCCCAGACUCCUACGGGAGGCAGCAGUGGGGAA